This is a non-coding RNA of Microcebus murinus (gray mouse lemur), 1559 nucleotides long. The record is from RefSeq and is a predicted model, not a curated record. Lineage: Eukaryota; Metazoa; Chordata; Mammalia; Primates; Cheirogaleidae.
GCGCGCGCGCCACUGCCAAACAACCCUAUGUUAGAAUUGUGUCUCUUCCGCUUGCUAGCUAAAUGGCCUUAGCUUCCCUGAGCGUCUGAAUCUGGGUUGAAGGCGAAAUGGUGCGAUGUAGAAAGAUGACGGCUGGCGUUUCACAGGCCCGCAGUGGCGCCCAUUCAUGACAGCUGUGUUUCGAAUGGCCUUGCUGGUUUUUGUCUGCCCGCGUCUGCCUGCUCUCCAAGCAACCUCCGGCCCCAGCCAACUACCCGCCGUCCUGCCUUUGAAUGGCAGGACACACAACCGCCGUCCCUUUUCAGGGUCCAAGCCAUUCUUGCAUCCUCUGAGUAGAACAAAGUCAAUCAACAGAGAAUAAAAAGGAGAUUGAAGAGAAAUAGAUUAAUUACAUGGAAACAGAAGUUGUAAUAUUAGAAAUCAUGUCUGUCUUGGAGGAGCCACCACAGGCACCAGGGAUGCCAGACAGACUUACUGAAUUGGAACCUCAGAUAAGCUCCCUUCCUCAUUGCAGGAGAUGCCUGGUUAUUGGAACCAAGAAUGUGACCAAGGAUCUGGAGUGUAAUUUUCUCGUGUGGGAUGUGAAGGAGUAGAAACAAAGCAACUUCCAGCAACUUUUUUUCAUCUUUCUCACAAAGACAGGCUCAAAUCCUUUAGUUCCGCUUUAAUCAUCUGCCUCAUGACAAGUCCUCAGAUUCCCCAAAUAACUGUGUCAAAUCAAAUUAAAAUUUUAAUUCCACACUGGAAGAUGGCAGGCAGAAUGCCUCUGGUGAUCUCGGAGUCCCUUCUCGCCGUGUUCUGAAGACAGCUGCUGAGACGCUCAUUCAAGGAUCAGUGGCUGGAUUAGAGGAAAAAUGGAGAGCGGUUGUUGCAAAGGUGUCAAACCGCUUGGAAUGCUGCCAGCAACCUGGUUCUGGAGCCGGUAGUGGGUGCGUGUGAGGAAUGGCGUGCUUGCGCUUGGGCGAAAUAUGUCCAAAGGAGCCACCUCCUCUGUGUUGUCAUUGCGUUGCAUCCAGAAGAAUGUGCUCCUUGGCCAGCUUGCCUCUGUAUGGAACCAUUGACAGACCAGAGCGUGGAUGACUUUGUACCAUCGGGGCCAUGCUUUGCAUUAAAGCAACACGGUCAUUGUUCAGCCUCCGCCGGCGGGCUGUUGACACUUUGUUGACAGUUUACUGUCUCUCUCUUCUUACCUACUGUCUCCCACUCAGCCUCCAGAUUCUCAGGGUUACCUGUCCUACCACCCACUCUCCUGCUAACGUGCUCUCGGGAUGUCUGGGAGAGUGGCCCAAGGACAGGGAGUGGGACGAAAACGGGGAGUGAUAUCAGAGGGUGGAAAGGGGUUACGGCCAGAGCAGGGAGAGAUGUGUGGGCUAAAAGAAGUUACUGUGUGCUCACCAGCACUCCCAGGCCUUUCCUGGCACACUGCAAGCUAGUCAUGGAAACGGGACCGCUCUGAGGGGCUCUCAAGUACGAAGGCUGCAGCUGCUGCAUUUAGCAAGUGAGAAUAAAAGACAUCCAGUUAUUUCUGAAUUUCAGAGAAGCAGCAUUUUUUUUUUAAG